RNAcentral lists this unclassified non-coding RNA (163 nucleotides) under rhizosphere metagenome. RNAcentral's name for it is "partial ribosomal RNA internal transcribed spacer region". The record is from RNAcentral.
AAGUUUAGAUUGAACCAUAGGCGAAAGCCAGUGGUUCUUCUUUCAUAUCCAUAACACCUGUGCACUGUUGGAUGCUUGCAUCCACUUUUAUACUAAACAUUAUUGUAACAAAUGUAGUCUUAUUAUAACUAAUAAAACUUUUAACAACGGAUCUCUUGGCUCU